UUGUGCAAAGGUAGCAUAAUCAUUAGUCUCUUAAUUAGUGACUUGUAUGAAGGAUUGGAUGAAAUAUAGACUGUCUUAAGAAUAAUUAGUUGAAGUUAAUUUUUUAAUUAAAAAGUUAAAAUAGAUUAAAAAGACGAGAAGACCCUAUAGAGUUUAAUAUUAAAUAUAGUUUAAAUUAUUUAUAAAAUUAUUAACUAAAAAUUUUAUUUAAUAUUUUAUUGGGGUGAUAAAAAAAUAAAAUGAACUUUUUUUGAAAAUAACCAUAAAUAAGUGAUAUAAUGAUCCAAUUUUAUUGAUUAAAAGAAAAAAUUACCUUAGGGAUAACAGCGUAAUUUUUUUUUUUAGUUCUUAUAAGAAAAAAAGUUUGCGACCUCGAUGUUGGAUCAGGACA
RNAcentral lists this ribosomal RNA (391 nucleotides) under Antheraea frithi. Its description in RNAcentral is "partial 16S ribosomal RNA". The record is from RNAcentral. Lineage: Eukaryota; Metazoa; Arthropoda; Insecta; Lepidoptera; Saturniidae.